CCGGGACCAUCCGGUAAGGCUAAAUACUCCCGAGAGACCGAUAGCGAACCAGUACCGUGAGGGAAAGGUGAAAAGCACUUCGAACAGAAGAGUGAAAUAGUUCCUGAAACCGUGCGCCUACAAGCGGUCGGAGCUCGUUAAUGAGUGACGGCGUGCCUUUUGCAUAAUGAACCUACGAGUUGCCUUUGCCGGCAAGGUUAAGUGUGACGACACACGUAUCCGAAGCGAAAGCGAGUCUGAAUAGGGCGUAUAGUCGGCAGUGGCAGACGCGAAACCAAGUGAUCUACCCUUGGCCAGGUUGAAGGCUGGGUAACACCAGCUGGAGGACCGCACCAAUAAGCGUUGAAAAGCUUCUGGAUGAGCUGAGGGUAGGGGUGAAAGGCUAAUCAAACUUGGAGAUAGCUCGUACUCCCCGAAAUGCAUUUAGGUGCAGCCUUGAGAGUUACUAAUGUGAGGUAGAGCGACUGAUAAGAUGCGAGGGCUUCACCGCCUAUCAAGUCUUGACAAACUCCGAAUGCGCAUCAGUUCUACCGCAGGAGUGAGGGCAUGGGUGCUAAGGUCCGUGCCCGAGAGGAGAAGAAUCCGGACCACCUGCUAAGGUCCCGAAAUGACAGCUAAGUUAAACUAACGAAGUCUGACUGCUAAGACAGCUAGGAUGUUGGCUUGGAAGCAGCCAUUCAUUUAAAGAGUGCGUAACAGCUCACUAGUCGAGGAGUCGGGCGUGGAUAAUAAUCGGGUAUCAAGUUGUCUACCGAAGCAGUGGGAUCAUUGAUAUGAUCGGUAGGGGAGCAUUCCAGUCAGCGUCGAAGGCGUACCGUGAGGUAUUCUGGAGCGUCUGGAAAAGCAAAUGUAGGUAUAAGUAACGAUAAAGGGGGCGGGAAACCCCCUCGCCGAAAGACUAAGGUUUCCUGAUCAACGCUAAUCGGAUCAGGGUCAGUCGGGUCCUAAGGCUCAGCCGAACGGCGAUGCCGAUGGCAGAAACGGUUAAUAUUCCGUUACUACCUUCAGGAGUGACGUGGAGACGCAGUAGUGACAGUGCCGCCAUCUGACGGAAUAGAUGGUUGAAGGGUGUAGGAGUCGAUCAUGGCAGGCAAAUCCACCAUGAGAUCCGAACCUGAUAGUAUGCCGCGUCCUUCGGGACAAGGCAAUAGUGCGCGUAAGCAUGCUGCCGAGAAAAUCCGCUAAACUUAAUCCUGCAGGUACCCGUACCGCAAACGGACACACGUAGUCGGGUUGAAUAUACUAAGGCGCUUGAGUGAUUCACGGUUAAGGAACUAGGCAAACUGACCCUGUAACUUCGGGAUAAAGGGUCCCUACCCUUUUAUGGGAGGGCGCAGAGAAUCGGUCCAGGCAACUGUUUAACAAAAACACAGGGCUGUGCCAAAUCGAAAGAUCCAGUAUACAGCCUGACACCUGCCCGGUGCUGGAAGGUUAAGAGGAGAUGUCAUCGAUAAGAGAAGCGUUGAAUUGAAGCCCCAGUAAACGGCGGCCGUAACUAUAACGGUCCUAAGGUAGCGAAAUUCCUUGUCGGGUAAGUUCCGACCUGCACGAAUGGUGUAAUGAUCUGGACACUGUCUCAACCGUGAGCUCAGUGAAAUUGUAGUAUCGGUGAAGAUGCCGAUUACCCGCGAUGGGACGAAAAGACCCCGUGAACCUUUACUAUAGCUUAUCAUUGAAUCUGGGCACGUGAUGUGUAGGAUAGGUCGGAGGCUUUGAAGCAGGUACGCCAGUAUUUGUGGAGCCGCUGUUGAAAUACGACCCUUUAUUUGUUUGGAUUCUAACCCGUGGAACGGGGACAUUGAUUGGUGGGUAGUUUGACUGGGGUGGUCGCCUCCAAAAGCGUAACGGAGGCUUCUAAAGGUGCCCUCACGCCGAUUGGUAACCGGCGGUAGAGUGUAAUGGCAUAAGGGCGCUUGACUGGGAGACUUACAAGUCGAUCAGGUAGGAAACUAGAGCAUAGUGAUCCGGUGUUUCCGUAUGGAAGGGACAUCGCUCAAAGGAUAAAAGGUACUCCGGGGAUAACAGGCUGAUC
Molecule: ribosomal RNA, 2032 nt
Filed under: human gut metagenome
Description: bacterial LSU rRNA
Rfam family: Bacterial large subunit ribosomal RNA
Source: RNAcentral